Molecule: microRNA precursor, 61 nt
Filed under: Alligator mississippiensis (American alligator)
Lineage: Eukaryota; Metazoa; Chordata; Crocodylia; Alligatoridae
Description: Ami-Mir-459_pre stem-loop
Source: RNAcentral
UCAGUAACAAGGAUUCAUCUCUGUAUUGUGUGAAGAACAGAGAGAGUCUUUGUAACUAAGU